RNAcentral lists this ribosomal RNA (404 nucleotides) under uncultured bacterium. RNAcentral describes it as "bacterial SSU rRNA". It matches the Rfam family "Bacterial small subunit ribosomal RNA", at positions 29 to 416 of the family's 1533-position model. The record is from RNAcentral.
AACGAACGCUGGCGGCGUGCCUAACACAUGCAAGUCGUGCGAGAAAGUUCCUUCGGGAGCGAGUAAAGCGGCGCACGGGUGAGUAACACGUAGGUAACCUGCCCCCCAGUCUGGAACAACUAGAGGAAACUCUAGCUAAUGCCGGAUGAGACCACGAUCCCUUCGGGGGUUGCGGCCAAAGAUGGCCUCUACUUGUAAGCUAUCGCUGAGGGAUGGGCCUGCGGGCCAUUAGCUUGUUGGUGAGGUAACGGCUCACCAAGGCUGUGAUGGCUAGCUGGUCUGAGAGGAUGACCAGCCACACUGGGACUGAGACACGGCCCAGACUCCUACGGGAGGCAGCAGUGGGGAAUAUUGCGCAAUGGGCGAAAGCCUGACGCAGCGACGCCGCGUGGAUGAUGAAGGCC